Molecule: non-coding RNA, 383 nt
Organism: Camellia sinensis
Lineage: Eukaryota; Viridiplantae; Streptophyta; Magnoliopsida; Ericales; Theaceae
Source: RefSeq, a predicted model, not a curated record
GGGCAUAGGUGGUAAGGUCUGCAAAGCAACAAAAGGGGGAGUUCUGAAUAGUCUGGUGUUCAAUCCUUGUGGUUGGGUAGAAGGAUCUCUUUGGGGGGUCCUAAAUGCCUAGUCUAACUACUGAUUUAUAAAACCUUAAUGUGAAGAAGCAGCUUACGACGGGGAAGGUUAUCCCGAAGACAAUCAAGAUGAAGUUUUAGAACCGUGGUUCACUUGAAAAUUUAGACUAGUAGUUUGUUUUUGUGUUCUCUCUUCUUUUACCUUUUGGUUGACAAUAUUUGUAAACCUCUAGUAGAACUCAAAUCAGUUAUCCAUGUUAUAACUCCGCUUGUAUGUGUAUAUUAACGUAUUGUGGUUAUCUAUUUUGUUUGAGUUGUACUUUA